RNAcentral lists this ribosomal RNA (207 nucleotides) under uncultured bacterium. Its description in RNAcentral is "partial 16S ribosomal RNA". It matches the Rfam family "Bacterial small subunit ribosomal RNA", at positions 568 to 774 of the family's 1533-position model. The record is from RNAcentral.
CGCGUAGGCGGCCUGCUAAGUCGAACGUGAAAUCCCCGAGCUCAACUCGGGAACUGCGUCCGAUACUGGUUGGCUUGAAUCCGGGAGAGGGAUGCGGAAUUCCAGGUGUAGCGGUGAAAUGCGUAGAUAUCUGGAGGAACACCGGUGGCGAAGGCGGCAUCCUGGACCGGCAUUGACGCUGAGGCGCGAAAGCCAGGGGAGCAAACG